CCCUGCUUCCAGGAAAAGCCUCUAAGCAUCAGGUAACAUCAAAUCGUACCCCAAACCGACACAGGUGGUCAGGUAGAGAAUACCAAGGCGCUUGAGAGAACUCGGGUGAAGGAACUAGGCAAAAUGGUGCCGUAACUUCGGGAGAAGGCACGCUGAUAUGUAGGUGAAGUCCCUUGCGGAUGGAGCUGAAAUCAGUCGAAGAUACCAGCUGGCUGCAACUGUUUAUUAAAAACACAGCACUGUGCAAACACGAAAGUGGACGUAUACGGUGUGACGCCUGCCCGGUGCCGGAAGGUUAAUUGAUGGGGUUAGCGGUAACGCGAAGCUCUUGAUCGAAGCCCCGGUAAAC
Molecule: ribosomal RNA, 349 nt
Filed under: Escherichia coli
Lineage: Bacteria; Pseudomonadati; Pseudomonadota; Gammaproteobacteria; Enterobacterales; Enterobacteriaceae
Description: partial 23S ribosomal RNA
Rfam family: Bacterial large subunit ribosomal RNA
Source: RNAcentral